This 428-nucleotide long non-coding RNA is filed under the name Androctonus crassicauda. The record is from RNAcentral. Lineage: Eukaryota; Metazoa; Arthropoda; Arachnida; Scorpiones; Buthidae.
ACGGGAUUAUGCCACCGUUAGUAGGGUAGUGGCGGAAGGCAGAGCCAAACCAACGUGUGGGCGCCCUCCUGCUGUGUUCGGCCUCCUAGGAGCGGAUGGGCCUCCUGGAUCGAAGGGAGAGGGGUCCGGCGUUUAUCGUGUUCCUUUUCGCGACUUGGAUGGGGAUAUUGAUGGUGUAUGUAUGGGUGCUGCAUCGAGGAAUCUUGGAGACCGGCUUGAGGAGCAUGAUGGAGAUGUUGGGCGGGGCACUCUGGCAGCAUCACUGGCGGGGGGGGCAUAUGAGGCUGGCAUUGGCGUCGACUGGGACCGAGCGGAAGUGAUUGAACCCAUAGAUUAUGUACAAGAGUUGCAGGUCGCAGAGGGCCUGCGGGUUUAUGGGCGUGGGGGUCGGAGUGUGCUGGCAAGUGGGAGUCGGCCUUCCUUACUUC